GAUGAACGCUAGCGACAGGCUUAACACAUGCAAGUCGAGGGGCAGCACAGGUAGCAAUAUCGGGUGGCGACCGGCGCACGGGUGAGUAACGCGUAUGCAACUUACCUAUCAGAGGGGGAUAACCCGGCGAAAGUCGGACUAAUACCGCAUGAAGCAGGGGUCCCGCAUGGGGGUAUGUGCGAAAGAUGCAUCGCGGAUAGAUAGGCGUGCGUUCCAUUAGGCAGUUGGCGGGGUAACGGCACACCAAACCGACGAUGGAUAGGGGUUCUGAGGGGCAGGUCCCCGACAUUGGUACGGAGACACGGACCAAACUCCUACGGGAGGCAGCAGUGGGGAACAUUAGUCAAGGGUCGAGAGGCUGAACCAGCCAAGUCGCGUGAGGGAUGAAGGUGCUAGGGAUCGUAAUCCUCUUUGAAAAGGGAAUACGGUGCGGGACGUGUCCCGUUUUGUCUGUACCUUAUGAAUAAGGAUCGGCUAACUCCGUG
Molecule: ribosomal RNA, 485 nt
Filed under: uncultured bacterium
Lineage: Bacteria
Description: partial 16S ribosomal RNA
Rfam family: Bacterial small subunit ribosomal RNA
Source: RNAcentral